Molecule: long non-coding RNA, 2131 nt
Filed under: Cavia porcellus (domestic guinea pig)
Lineage: Eukaryota; Metazoa; Chordata; Mammalia; Rodentia; Caviidae
Description: lncRNA (ENSCPOG00000031180.1)
Source: RNAcentral
AGGCCCUCGGGCUCAGGCAGUCAGAGUGCAGGUCCUGUAGUCAAGGGCUGAACACACCAGGAUGACUUGAUGCAAGACGGACCUGGUUCAAGCUCAUAUCUGCCAUGACUUUAGCCCAACUGUUCCUUGGCCCUCCUCAUUCAUGCAGGAGAAAUCAACCUGUCACAUUCCUUGGGGGUGGCAAGGAAUCAGCCGUGAUUGUAUGCAUCACGGGUUGAUGAACGCAGUUCUUACAGUCUUUGCUAUGACACCAGAUGGGCUCAAGGAAAAGCUUAAUCUAGUGGCUCCCAGGAAAAUGACCUCUAGAGUGAGACACACCAGGAUGGUGAGAGUGCUCCCUAGCCACUUGUUUGGAUCCCAUCCUUUCCUCGAUGCCCUGCACGUCGGCAUGCGGCCCUCGUCUUCUUGGUGUGCGAGAACCCACGAGAACCAUGCUCAUCCCUUGGGAUCUACCUGAGCGACCGUCCUUGGGAAAAACUGACGAGCUGUCUGUGUCUGCACCAACUCCUGCUUUGAGCAGUCUGCAGAUUGGAGCCGACAGCCCCGCUCCCCAGUGGGAAAGGAGCACCGUGACGGCCCAGACAGACAGACAGACAGAGAAAGGUGUUCAUGAAGCCAGCGUCGGCAGAGUGAGCUCUGUGAAACACAUAGGUUUUGGUGAGGAGAUCCUGUGCCACAGGGAAGCCCCGCUGCUGCUCUGGCACCAUGAGGCCAGUGGGACACCAAGGCACGAUAUCACAGAGACACCUGGGGAGUCCCUGAGUGAAUGUGCCCUGGAACACCUCCACCUUGGGCUCCCACUGAGUGACACUGUGACCAACGUGUCUUUUGCCCAUGGAGUGUCAUUCCCUCCCUUGGUGAUGGAACACAGACCAGGCAAAGACAACGUCAGAGCGAGUGCCCAUUCCGUCAGCUGGGCAAUGCUGUGUGCUCUAAAAUGCUCCCUUCUGAGGGACUUGUUGCUGAUGCCUGGGGUGAGGAUGGUGGCCGCUGGAAAAGGUUCCCCCAACAGAUCAGAGGGAGGCCUGGUGGCAGGGACAGACCUGGAGCGCCUGUUGUGACAGGGUGUCCCCCCUCUGUGGGAAAGGGAGUGAGAGGGCACGGAAGGACGUGGACAGGGCAUGCUGUCCCUGGCACAUCACGGACAGUCUUCUGGUCCUUUUGAGGCUUCCCUGCCCUGCUCUGCAAAGCUUCUGUGCCUGUGCCAGAGAAGACACAGCCUUGCAAAAGAUGGGAGGUGAGUCCGAAGUCCCAAGGUCUGAGCUGAUAAUGCAGGAGCUCCAGGCCUGCCCUCGGGGUGGUCCCCCUUCCGCCGAGGGCCCUGAGGACACAGGGCCAGCCAGCCAGGGUUGCUUUCCCUGGGCUAUGGGGGUCUCAAGGAGACCACAUCUGCAGUACGCUCUGAGGAAAAGCCGGUGACCCAACUUUGAAAACCAGUGAAGAAGAACCACUGUCCGUGGACGCAGAGAGGAGAGGCUGGCUGCUAAUGGGCACAGCUGCCAGUGUGGAUGAAUGGCUACCUCUGUUCUCACUGACUGACUUUCUUUGCAACCAUAGCUAAACGCAGCAAGGUUGCUUGCUGUGCCCAGCCCCAGGAGGAAGGAGGGAACCCGAAGGCCUGCAAUGCUGUUCCUGGCAACCAGUUAUCUGAACGAGACAAACGCAGAGAUAAUUUCUAUAGUGAAACCGAAACAGUAGACUCCUCCUGUGUCAGAUGAGAUAAUCUCAGUUACGUGACUGUGCACUACGUUCAUAGUUAACCAGAACGGAUGAGCAGCUGAGUGACCCACUGAAGCUUCCCCUGGGAAGGGCAGAGACAAUACUUUUUGAUCAGUCCUUUGUUUUUUUCCUCAAAUCAGAUGACUUCAUGGUCACAAAAUGGCUGCCAGUGCAAGCAGGCUACAUCCCCCCCGCCAUUCAGAUUGUUUUCUUUCACCUCAGACCAGCUGUUUUGAACUUUGCUGUGGAGCUGAUCAGAGAUCCACAACCUUGUCUCUAUUGUCUUCUGGCCUGUGAACUGGGGCAAGUUACAAACCCCCAGAAACCAUCCAUUUGGCUCAGGAACUGGGCUGGUUAAGGAAAGCUCUUAGCUGCACCCUUGGCCCUGCGGAAGUUCUGUGAACACUGGCCA